CCUACGGGAGGCAGCAGUGAGGAAUAUUGGUCAAUGGACGAGAGUCUGAACCAGCCAAGUCGCGUGAAGGAUGACUGCCCUAUGGGUUGUAAACUUCUUUUAUAUGGGAAUAAAAUGUUCCACGUGUGGGAUUUUGUAUGUACCAUAUGAAUAAGGAUCGGCUAACUCCGUGCCAGCAGCCGCGGUAAUACGGAGGAUCCGAGCGUUAUCCGGAUUUAUUGGGUUUAAAGGGAGCGUAGGUGGAUUGUUAAGUCAGUUGUGAAAGUUUGCGGCUCAACCGUAUAAUUGCAGUUGAAACUGGCAGGCUUGAGUACAGUAGAGGUAGGCGGAAUUCGUGGUGUAGCGGUGAAAUGCUUAGAUAUCACGAAGAACUCCGAUUGCGAAGGCAGCUCACUGGACUGCAACUGACACUGAGGCUCGAAAGUGUGGGUAUCAAACAGGAUUAGAUACCCCAGUAGUC
RNAcentral lists this ribosomal RNA (460 nucleotides) under uncultured bacterium. RNAcentral describes it as "partial 16S ribosomal RNA". It matches the Rfam family "Bacterial small subunit ribosomal RNA", at positions 338 to 795 of the family's 1533-position model. The record is from RNAcentral.